UGAGAAAACUAGGGGUGCCUACAGGAAGUAGGCUGAGAAAAAGGUAUGUUCCUUUUAACUCUUUUAACCUGAUCUGGAUGAUACCAGCGUAGGGAAGUUGUUGCUUGUUUGU
RNAcentral lists this non-coding RNA (112 nucleotides) under Alkalihalobacillus pseudalcaliphilus. Its description in RNAcentral is "Bacillus pseudalcaliphilus TPP sequence". It matches the Rfam family "TPP riboswitch aptamer (THI element)". Rfam says of the family: Vitamin B(1) in its active form thiamin pyrophosphate (TPP) is an essential coenzyme that is synthesised by coupling of pyrimidine and thiazole moieties in bacteria. The previously detected thiamin-regulatory element, thi box was extended, resulting in a new, highly conserved RNA secondary structure, the THI element, which is widely distributed in eubacteria and also occurs in some archaea. The record is from RNAcentral. Lineage: Bacteria; Bacillati; Bacillota; Bacilli; Caryophanales; Bacillaceae.